UACGAACGCUGGCGGCAUGCCUAAUACAUGCAAGUCGAGCGAACAGAUGAAGUGCUUGCACUUCUGACGUUAGCGGCGAACGGGUGAGUAACACGUAAGGAAUCUACCUAUAAGCGGGGGAUAACAUUCGGAAACGGGUGCUAAUACCGCAUAAUAUCUUCUUCCGCAUGGAAGAAGAUUGAAAGACGGCUCUGCUGUCACUUAUAGAUGACCUUGCGGUGCAUUAGUUAGUUGGUGGGGUAACGGCCUACCAAGACGAUGAUGCAUAGCCGACCUGAGAGGGUGAUCGGCCACAUUGGGACUGAGACACGGCCCAAACUCCUACGGGAGGCAGCAGUAGGGAAUCUUCCGCAAUGGGCGAAAGCCUGACGGAGCAAUGCCGCGUGAGUGAAGAAGGCCUUCGGGUCGUAAAACUCUGUUAUAAGAGAAGAACAAAUUGUAGAGUAACUGCUACAGUCUUGACGGUAUCUUAUCAGAAAGCCACGGCUAACUACGUG
RNAcentral lists this ribosomal RNA (497 nucleotides) under uncultured bacterium. RNAcentral's name for it is "partial 16S ribosomal RNA". It matches the Rfam family "Bacterial small subunit ribosomal RNA", at positions 29 to 507 of the family's 1533-position model. The record is from RNAcentral.